This 527-nucleotide ribosomal RNA is filed under the name uncultured bacterium. Its description in RNAcentral is "bacterial SSU rRNA". It matches the Rfam family "Bacterial small subunit ribosomal RNA", at positions 777 to 1304 of the family's 1533-position model. The record is from RNAcentral.
AAUAGAUACCCUGGUAGUCCACGCCGUAAACGAUGUCGACUUGGAGGUUGUGCCCUUGAGGCGUGGCUUCCGGAGCUAACGCGUUAAGUCGACCGCCUGGGGAGUACGGCCGCAAGGUUAAAACUCAAAUGAAUUGACGGGGGCCCGCACAAGCGGUGGAGCAUGUGGUUUAAUUCGAUGCAACGCGAAGAACCUUACCUACUCUUGACAUCCAGAGAACUUGGCAGAGAUGCUUUGGUGCCUUCGGGAACUCUGAGACAGGUGCUGCAUGGCUGUCGUCAGCUCGUGUUGUGAAAUGUUGGGUUAAGUCCCGCAACGAGCGCAACCCUUAUCCUUUGUUGCCAGCGGUUAGGCCGGGAACUCAAAGGAGACUGCCAGUGAUAAACUGGAGGAAGGUGGGGAUGACGUCAAGUCAUCAUGGCCCUUACGAGUAGGGCUACACACGUGCUACAAUGGCAUAUACAAAGAGAAGCGACCUGCGAGAGCAAGCGGACCUCAUAAAAGUAUGUCGUAGUCCGGAUUGGAGU